RNAcentral lists this ribosomal RNA (460 nucleotides) under uncultured Porphyromonadaceae bacterium. Its description in RNAcentral is "partial 16S ribosomal RNA". It matches the Rfam family "Bacterial small subunit ribosomal RNA", at positions 341 to 792 of the family's 1533-position model. The record is from RNAcentral. Lineage: Bacteria; Pseudomonadati; Bacteroidota; Bacteroidia; Bacteroidales; Porphyromonadaceae.
ACGGGAGGCAGCAGCUAAGAAUAUUCCGCAAUGGACGAAAGUCUGACGGAGCGACGCCGCGUGGAUGAUGAAGGUCGGAAGAUUGUAAAAUCCUUUUAUAACUGAGGAAUAAGUCUGGUGAGAGAAACGCCGGAUGGUGACUGUAGGUUAUGAAUAAGCAUCGGCUAACUCCGUGCCAGCAGCCGCGGUAAUACGGAGGAUGCGAGCGUUAUCCGGAUUUAUUGGGUUUAAAGGGUGCGCAGGCGGCACGUUAAGUCAGCGGUGAAAUGCAGGGGCUCAACCCCGGCACUGCCGUUGAAACUGGCGAGCUCGAGUACGGAUGAAGUCGGCGGAAUGUGAUGUGUAGCGGUGAAAUGCUUAGAUAUGUCACAGAACACCGAUUGCGAAGGCAGCUGACUAAUCCGCAACUGACGCUCAGGCGCGAAAGCGUGGGGAUCGAACAGGAUUAGAUACCCUGGUA